This 250-nucleotide ribosomal RNA is filed under the name uncultured bacterium. Its description in RNAcentral is "partial 16S ribosomal RNA". It matches the Rfam family "Bacterial small subunit ribosomal RNA", at positions 524 to 773 of the family's 1533-position model. The record is from RNAcentral.
UACGUAGGUGGCGAGCGUUGUCCGGAAUUACUGGGUGUAAAGGGCGUGUAGGCGGGGAUGUAAGUCAGAUGUGAAAUACUGGGGCUCAACUCCAGGGCUGCAUCUGAAACUAUGUCUCUUGAGUGAUGGAGAGGAAAGUGGAAUUCCUAGUGUAGCGGUGAAAUGCGUAGAUAUUAGGAGGAACACCAGUGGCGAAGGCGACUUUCUGGACAUUAACUGACGCUGAGGCGCGAAAGCGUGGGGAGCAAAC